Molecule: ribosomal RNA, 459 nt
Filed under: uncultured bacterium
Lineage: Bacteria
Description: bacterial SSU rRNA
Rfam family: Bacterial small subunit ribosomal RNA
Source: RNAcentral
UACGGGAGGCAGCAGUGGGGAAUAUUGGACAAUGGGGGAACCCGUGAUCCAGCCAUGCCGCGUGUGUGAAGAAGGCCUUAUGGUUGUAAAGCACUUUAAGCGAGGAGGAGGCUACUGAGACUAAUACUCUUGGAUAGUGGACGUUACUCGCAGAAUAAGCACCGGCUAACUCUGUGCCAGCAGCCGCGGUAAUACGGAGGGUGCGAGCGUUAAUCGGAUUUACUGGGCGUAAAGCGUGCGUAGGCGGCUUUUUUAAGUCGGAUGUGAAAUCCCCGAGCUUAACUUGGGAAUUGCAUUCGAUACUGGGAAGCUAGAGUAUGGGAGAGGAUGGUAGAAUUCCAGGUGUAGCGGUGAAAUGCGUAGAGAUCUGGAGGAAUCCGAAUGGCGAAGGCAGCCAUCUGGCCUAAUACUGACGCUGAGGUACGAAAGCAUGGGGAGCAAACAGGAAUUAAGAUAACC